CCCUUAGAUGUUCGGGGCCGCACGCGCGCCACACUGAAGGAAUCAGCACGUCUUUCUCCUUGUCCGAAAGGACUGGGUAACCCGCUGAACCUCCUUCGUGCUAGGGAUUGGGGCUUGUAAUUCUUCCCCAUGAACGAGGAAUUCCCAGUAAGCGCGAGUCAUAAGCUCGCGUUGAUUACGUCCCUGCCCUUUGUACACACCGCCCGUCGCUACUACCGAUUGGAUGGUUUAGUGAGAUCCUCGGAUUGGUCCCGGAGCGGCCUCUGGUCGUGCCGGAGUGCCGAAAAGAAUGUCGAACUUGAUCAUCUAGAGGAAGUAAAAGUCGUAACA
Molecule: ribosomal RNA, 330 nt
Filed under: uncultured eukaryote
Lineage: Eukaryota
Description: partial 18S ribosomal RNA
Rfam family: Eukaryotic small subunit ribosomal RNA
Source: RNAcentral